UACGGGGGGAGCAAGCGUUGUUCGGAUUUACUGGGCGUAAAGGGUGCGCAGGCGGACUUGUAAGUCAGGGGUGAAAUCUCACAGCUCAACUGUGAAACUGCCUUUGAUACUGCAAGUCUUGGAUCCAGAAGAGAGUUGUGGAAUUCCGAGUGUAGCAGUGAAAUGUGUAGAUAUUCGGAAGAACACCAGUGGCGAAGGCAGCAACUUGGUCUGGUAUCGACGCUCAGGCACGAAAGCAUGGGGAUCAAACAGG
This 253-nucleotide ribosomal RNA is filed under the name uncultured bacterium. Its description in RNAcentral is "partial 16S ribosomal RNA". It matches the Rfam family "Bacterial small subunit ribosomal RNA", at positions 524 to 776 of the family's 1533-position model. The record is from RNAcentral.